This 254-nucleotide ribosomal RNA is filed under the name uncultured bacterium. RNAcentral describes it as "partial 16S ribosomal RNA". It matches the Rfam family "Bacterial small subunit ribosomal RNA", at positions 524 to 776 of the family's 1533-position model. The record is from RNAcentral.
UACGUAGGGGGCAAGCGUUGUCCGGAUUUAUUGGGCGUAAAGAGCUCGUAGGUGGUUUGGUAAGUCGGAUGUGAAAUCUCCAGGCUCAACCUGGAGGGGUCAUUCGAUACUGCCAUGACUAGAGGUCGGUAGGGGAGUGUGGAAUUCCUGGUGGAGCGGUGAAAUGCGCAGAUAUCAGGAGGAACACCUGUGGUGUAGACAGCUUACUGGACCAUGACUGACGCUGAGACACGAAAGCGUGGGUAGCAAACAGG